AGGUGUUUCCACACAAUUUUAGCACAUUCACUGUUUUGUUUUUUGGUGUAUGUGUACUUAAACAUGUAUGUGUGUAUGUCUCUAUGUGUUUCUAUGUCUUAGGAACUAACUAGCUUAUUCAAUGAAAUUUCAUUCAGAUUAAUGAAGAAAUUGAGGCGACAUUCAGGCAACAAAUACGGAAGAUGAAAGUGCUUUGACUACUCGAGAAUCGGAGCUGAUGAGAACUUCAUACAUACUACAAGUUGAAAUCGAUGCCUUCAUGAGAAUUUAUGGUAUUUAUGUUAGAGUAUAGAGGGGAAGAUGAAAGUGCUCUGACUACUCGAGAAUCGGAGCUGAUGAGAACUUCAUACAUACUACAAGUUGAAAUCGAUGCCUUCAUGAGAAUUUAUGGUAUUUAUGUUAGAGUAUAGAGGCUUUGCGUAGCACUAUAAUCUGUUUCUUCUUUCUAUGGUAAUGCUUUUUUUCCCCAGCUGUCAAAUUACUUGCUUUCAAGUAUCAUCUUGCAUCACUUUCUUUAUUUUAAUAGUUAGGCUUCAAGGCUCAGAGCUUCUGCUUGCUACCAACUGGUCAAAAGUUUCAACUCUCGAAAGUGUAGGUUUUAAGGCUUAAUUAAAGCUUCUGCGUGUUACCAAGUUUUCCCAUAGGUAUGUCUACAGUUCGCUUUACCUAAAAUUUAUGUUACAUAUGCUAUAUGCAAUUAGUUAUCUAUUAGGAUAUAAUAGAAGGACACUCAACUUCUGAUUUGGCUUUUUGAUUUAUCGUAAUCGUCAAAAAGCUUAUUCUUUUAGCUAAUAGUUAUUUCCUUAUUUGUGAUUCCUGAGUCUUUAGUGAUAAUCGUGCUGGUUAGAUAUCAGUUAUUUUGGAUAAAAACAAACACAUAAAACACAUACACAAAACUUUUUUUACGCUGUUUAAAUAUUGAUGAACCACUGAUUAAGAGUACAUGGGAGCAGUAAUAGUUUCGUUCUCUUUAUUUUCCCGAUGACUUAGUUUUUCCUAGC
This 1001-nucleotide long non-coding RNA is filed under the name Nicotiana benthamiana. RNAcentral's name for it is "long non-coding RNA (NBEN_LNC018517)". Lineage: Eukaryota; Viridiplantae; Streptophyta; Magnoliopsida; Solanales; Solanaceae. The record is from RNAcentral.